GACGGAGGGGGCAAGCGUUGCUCGGAAUUACUGGGCGUAAAGGGCGCGUAGGCGGGAUGGCAAGUCGGUCGUGAAAUCCCUCGGCUCAACCGAGGAACUGCGCCCGAGACUGCCUUUCUUGAGUCCCGGAGAGGAAGGUGGAAUUCCCGGUGUAGCGGUGAAAUGUGUAGAGAUCGGGAGGAACACCGGUGGCGAAGGCGGCCUUCUGGACGGUGACUGACGCUGAGGCGCGAAAGCGUGGGGAGCAAACGGG
This 253-nucleotide ribosomal RNA is filed under the name uncultured bacterium. RNAcentral's name for it is "partial 16S ribosomal RNA". It matches the Rfam family "Bacterial small subunit ribosomal RNA", at positions 524 to 776 of the family's 1533-position model. The record is from RNAcentral.